RNAcentral lists this unclassified non-coding RNA (262 nucleotides) under uncultured Gammaproteobacteria bacterium. Its description in RNAcentral is "contains 16S-23S intergenic spacer region". The record is from RNAcentral. Lineage: Bacteria; Pseudomonadati; Pseudomonadota; Gammaproteobacteria.
UCCGGUUUGUCACCGGCAGUCCCAUUAGAGUGCUCAACUGAAUGUAGCAACUAAUGGCAAGGGUUGCGCUCGUUGCGGGACUUAACCCAACAUCUCACGACACGAGCUGACGACAGCCAUGCAGCACCUGUGUUCAGGCUCUCUUUCGAGCACCUCUGCAUUUCUGCAGCCUUCCGGACAUGUCAAGGGUAGGUAAGGUUUUUCGCGUUGCAUCGAAUUAAUCCACAUAAUCCACCGCUUGUGCGGGUCCCCGUCAAUUCCU